Molecule: transfer RNA, 73 nt
Filed under: Acidimicrobiales bacterium
Lineage: Bacteria; Bacillati; Actinomycetota; Acidimicrobiia; Acidimicrobiales
Also listed under: 2 other names
Description: tRNA-Phe
Rfam family: tRNA
About the family: Transfer RNA (tRNA) molecules are approximately 80 nucleotides in length.
Source: RNAcentral
GGUCGGGUAGCUCAGUUGGUAGAGCGUCCGCCUGAAAAGCGGAAGGUCACCGGAUCGAUGCCGGUCCCGACCA